GUGCGAGUNUCACNAUNNUNAGCCUUCCAGNCCUGUAAUUGGGAUGACGGUAAAUUUCACCCCUUUCCGGAGUAUCAAUUGGAGGGCAAGUCUGGUGCCAGCAGCCGCGGUAAUUCCAGCUCCAAUAGCGUAUAUUAAACUUGUUGCAGUUAAAAAGCUCGUAGUUGAAUUUCUGCUGCAUCAUUUAUAUUCCUUAAUCGGUUUAUUCAUGUUGUGGCUUUUUCUGGUGAUUAUACUUCGGUAUUAUUAUCCAGAUUGUUACUUUGAGAAAAUUAGAGUGCUUAAAGCAGGCAUUUGCCUUGAAUACUUUAGCAUGGAAUAACUAAGUAGGACUUUGGUUCUAUUUUGUUGGUUUAAGAGCCAAAGUAAUGAUUAAUAGGAACAGUUGGGGCUUNCCGUAUUUAAAA
This 407-nucleotide ribosomal RNA is filed under the name Cytauxzoon felis. Its description in RNAcentral is "bacterial SSU rRNA". It matches the Rfam family "Eukaryotic small subunit ribosomal RNA", at positions 469 to 903 of the family's 1831-position model. The record is from RNAcentral. Lineage: Eukaryota; Apicomplexa; Aconoidasida; Piroplasmida; Theileriidae.